Capsicum annuum is the source of this 215-nucleotide non-coding RNA. The record is from Rfam. Lineage: Eukaryota; Viridiplantae; Streptophyta; Magnoliopsida; Solanales; Solanaceae.
ACGACCUUACUUGAACAGGAUCUGUUCUAUAGGCUCGUACCACUGUAUCCUUGACUUCUAAGGAGACAGGAAACUAAGUCUGGUGGAUGAAUUGAAGCCAUGAGACUAGAGCGUGAUUAACUGGCCUCCAUUACCUUUGGGUCAUGGUGUUGUAGAUGAUCGUUCUCAGCUUGGUUCGCUGGGCUUGAGGUGGUCUCGUGGCUGUCUGACAGACU